AUUUAGCCCUGAUAGAAGUGGAAAUCAUUUUUCUCUAAAACUUAUUUUUUCCUGGUUGGGCAGAGCGACCGGAGGAAGCUCCUGAACAGACUUUGGAAAAAAAGUUGUAGAAAAAAAUAUUGAAACCAAUAGCAGCCCCGAUA
Molecule: small RNA, 143 nt
Filed under: Flavobacterium resistens
Lineage: Bacteria; Pseudomonadati; Bacteroidota; Flavobacteriia; Flavobacteriales; Flavobacteriaceae
Description: Flavo-1 RNA
Rfam family: Flavo-1 RNA
Source: RNAcentral